UGGGCGCAAGCCUGAUCCAGCCAUGCCGCGUGAGUGAUGAAGGCCUUAGGGUUGUAAAGCUCUUUUACCCGGGAAGAUAAUGACUGUACCGGGAGAAUAAGCCCCGGCUAACUUCGUGCCAGCAGCCGCGGUAAU
Molecule: ribosomal RNA, 135 nt
Filed under: uncultured bacterium
Lineage: Bacteria
Description: partial 16S ribosomal RNA
Rfam family: Bacterial small subunit ribosomal RNA
Source: RNAcentral